CCCUUAAAAGAAUUUUCUAGCUUCGCUCUUGGUCACUAGCUAGCUAACGAAAAAUGAAAACACACUCAAAAAUCUAAAAUAGUUGAGUGUCGAAAAAAAUAAUUAAAUAAUUAAGCGAUAUUUUAUAAAUUUUUAUAGGUGGGUGGUAAAAAAUAAAAUUAUUACAAAAUAAUAAUAAUAAUAAUAAGUUAACAAUAUCAAAUUUUAAUUUCAUUAUUUAUCAAAAGCAUGGAUUUAAUACACUUAUCUUAAACUACAAUAUUUUCCUAGUUCACAGAUAGUAACAAAGCUAAGUUAAAAAUAGGUGGUUGCAGCGGCGGUGAUGGCGCAAAUAGUGUCUCAGCUUGACUGUGCUUGUGGCUGAGGAGCUGGCGUAGGCACCACCGUUGGAGGCGGUGGAGCCUUAUAAUUAGGCGGCGCUCUGAAUCUGUAGUGACGAGGAACGUUGAACCUUGGAGCUGGGGGCCUUGAAUUGAUUUCUUUUAGCCUUCUCGAAACAUUGUUCAAAAAUCUCGAAAGAACCGCUUCGGAUGAAGAACUCGAAACUGCCACUUCGACGGCGGCGUGGAUUAGCCGGCAGUUACUUGAAAGCAAGAUGAAACUGACGAUGAUUGGUGGCAACAAUGUCGCCACAAAAGACUUGGCAUGAUCCCUUUGCCUGGUUUUAUAUUUA
Molecule: long non-coding RNA, 673 nt
Filed under: Gossypium barbadense (sea-island cotton)
Lineage: Eukaryota; Viridiplantae; Streptophyta; Magnoliopsida; Malvales; Malvaceae
Description: long non-coding RNA (GBAR_LNC010969)
Source: RNAcentral